RNAcentral lists this long non-coding RNA (330 nucleotides) under Hordeum vulgare. RNAcentral describes it as "long non-coding RNA (HVUL_LNC012824)". Lineage: Eukaryota; Viridiplantae; Streptophyta; Magnoliopsida; Poales; Poaceae. The record is from RNAcentral.
GCUCUGCUCUCGGCCGCUUUCAGCUUUUCCACGCGGUGAUGGCAAGACAAGCGAUAUCUCGCUAUCAGAUUGGGAUUUGGGAAUGCGGCCAGAGAGGAGAGGGCAACAUUGUUUUCGGUUGUGGAUACAUGUCGCGAUCAGGUGGUGGGUGGACAGGAUUUGGCAAGAUUGCUGGUUGAUCCUCAAAACGAUAUCAGUUAACUGCCGUGUCAGAUACUAGCACACACAUUGGACUUGCAUGGAUGAUUAGCGGGGAUUGAGCUGGGAAGUGAUUGCGCUUUAGGGGAAAGAAUUACGUACUACUUUAUUUGCAUCGAACAUACACUCACC